CCCCGCCCCCGUACCGGCCUUGAAGCUGAGCUCAUCUUGCUCCUGGCCGUCGUAGUCGUAAAGUGCCCGCACACGUACUCCCUUGGCAUCAUCCUCGAAGGGGUUGGCGCCGCCGUUGGCCUCGUUCCCCCCGAAGGGAGUCCCACUCUCAUCAUCUGACCACUCGGUGGCGUACGGUUGGCCUCGGUCAUAGCUGCUAACACUGGGGUGCACAUGGAGGACCUCCGUCAGCGGCUCGACCCCACCCCUAUCAAUACCCUCUCCUAACCAGAGCCUGGGUCCAAAUUCUACCCAGGCGGGGGCAGAGGCGGCGACUCUCUGACAACUUGAACACUGCGCAUCAGUAUUUCGGCUCCAGAGGCAGGAAGGGCUACAGAGGAGCCCGGAGGCUGACCCUGUGAAAGGGGCACUAUCCCUAAGUGGGUACCAGCUAGGAUGUGGAGCAGAGAACCUUCCCUGGUUCUGAGGCUGGCCGGAGGCUUGAGUCCAUUAAUGUAGUGCCCAACACACUGUGUACCUUCUGCACGUCCUGCCUACACUUGUCCACCUUGUCCAGAAGUUUCUUCUGCUGCUCGGGGGUGACCGACUGCUCCGUCUUACUAUUCAUCUCCCGAGUCAUGGCCAGCUUCUCCUCUUUGCAAGCCAGAUGAUAGGCUUUCUUGGCCGCCUCCAGCUGUGGGGAGAGAGGGCCAGGGGCUGCUGCCCCACAUGACACUGCUCACGGCCGCUGCAGACAUGCCAGUCACGGGAUCUGUGGAGCCAGCUGGAUGUGUGCUGGGGAAAGCACAUCAGCGCUCAGAAAAACGUGCAGAUUAGUGGAGGAAAAGCCUGUCUGACAGAUCUCAAGUGUAAGACCAGCUCGGGCUACACAGCAAAACCAAGACGAAGAAAAGGAAGCAGCAGCGGCAGCCUCUGCAGAAAUGGUGGUGCACAAUUCAGACCCAGCGCUCGGGAGGCGGAGGCAGGUGGCCAGCCUGGUCUACAGAGUGAUCCUAGGGGCCAGGCUUCAGAGUAAGAUUCCGUCUCAAAGAAACAAGAGAGAGUUAUACAAAGCAGGAGAAUGAAGGGGCCUCCUUUGAUCCAGGACACCCAGGUGAAAAGCCCUGUGGCUGGGAUGCUGGUGCACCCGGGGCCCGCCCCGGGGGACCCGUCAGAGCCCGGGGGGUGGGGCACCUUUCUCGAUGAGCUGGCGCCAGCGCUUGGCCCAGUCGGUGAGCUGCUGCGCGUAGGCUUUCUCGAUCUUGGCGCGCUCCUGCACGCAGCUCAUGAGGUCGUUGCAGAGGCGGUGGCCGUCGUCAAUGCGCUUCACCGUCCGCUUGUAGUUCCCCACCUGGCGGCAGAGCAGCAAGUGACCGGGCAGAGCAGCAAGUGACCCGGCAGCCCCUGCGAUCCUAGCCCUGGCCUGCAGGGGGCGCGUCGCCUCCGCCUCGCCCCGCCCUCCACGCGGCGGAGUCCCAGAGCUCCACGUCAGACCCCGCGGUCUCCACCUACCCUCCUCCUCCUCCAAAACCUCCUCACUGCCGCAAAAAGCAUACGGAGUUUUAUAUAAUUUGGACUUGGGCUAGAAUGAAUUAUUCAUUUUGCUCUUGUGAGCUAAAUCUAUUAUAUUUAUACGAGUCAUAUAAGCUU
Long non-coding RNA from Peromyscus eremicus (cactus mouse), 1629 nucleotides. RefSeq lists it as uncharacterized. Lineage: Eukaryota; Metazoa; Chordata; Mammalia; Rodentia; Cricetidae. The record is from RefSeq and is a predicted model, not a curated record. The transcript has 6 exons.